Molecule: long non-coding RNA, 1811 nt
Organism: Oncorhynchus kisutch (coho salmon)
Lineage: Eukaryota; Metazoa; Chordata; Actinopteri; Salmoniformes; Salmonidae
Exons: 4
Source: RefSeq, a predicted model, not a curated record
UUUGUGCAGUUCACGUCUGCAGACAUUUGCUCAUCUCCCGUCAGAACAGGAUCUGCACACGUGUUCACAUUUUCCAUUCCACAUUUAUAUUGUAGUGUACUGUAUGUAUGGAUCAUAAUAUAUUUGUGUAUAUUCUUUAUCACCGCGGACACGUGAGGUAACGUUACUCAUUGUAUAACCUUUAUGGUGUUAUAGUCAAUCGUGCUUAUGUAGCCACAUUCUUCUAUUAGCUCUGUAAAACAAUGCUAAAUGCGUCAGAGAAGUAUUAUCUUGUGUUGUAUUUUGAAGCUACAUGGCCUUAUGACUCCCAAGUGGUGUAGCGGUUAAAGGCACAGCACAUCAGUACUAGAGGCGUCACUACAGACUCCCUGGUUCAAAUCCAGGCUGCGUUUCCAUCAAAAAACUAGAAACAUUAUUUGCCAAUAUCAUAACUGGAGCUGGACAUCUUUGGAGCUGAAGAAUGAGGACAGGUUUUGUAUGCUAACGUACACUCCAGUUGUACUGGAUGAAAACACAGCAAGAAAACACAUAUGCCAAUAUGUAAUAGUCAUCUAUUGUAUUGCAGGAUUGGUAGUUGGUUCAACAACUUGUUUUACUAGAGGAGAAAAAACUGAAUAUGCAUAACCCAUAUUUAAUAUCCAUGCAGUGACUGAACAACAACUGCAUUUCCACCCCCAUCUCUAAGGCAUAGUAUCAUGGCUGGUCACCUGUCAAGUCACCUGUCAGGCAGACUUUGCAAUGCCUCCGUGUGCGACUACCUUGAGAAGCAGUUUGAGGGACUUUGCAGGGAAAAUGCCGUGCAGUGAGGCGUAGGGGAUUGUCUACAGCAGGACGACCCCCAGUGGAUGGGCGCCGAGGGGUGUGGUGCUCCUCCAGCAGCUCUCUCAUGAGGUUCUCUCUGUAUUUUUGGUGGUCCACCUUCCCUAUGGCCGACAUGGUUGCUGUAUGGACAGUGGAGAGGACAUGGACGUCUCGCUUGUCAUGCCACUUUACUGCCAGCUGUUGACCGUUCUCCUGGAACUCCACCUCCCCUCUCUGCAUCUUCCUGCAUCCGAAUGCCGGCAUCCCCUUCCGGUUCGACCUGACUGUGCCACAGGCCCCUGUGCUGUUGGAGAGCAGAUGCUGGAAAAGUGUGGGACUGCUGUACCAAUUGUCCACGUACAAAGUGUGUCCCUUGCCGAGAUGAGGAGCCAGCAUGGUCAUCACCACGGACCCUCAUAAUGUUUGAUGUCAGUGGUGGACCCUGUGUAAACUAUAAUGUCCUGAACAAAUCCUGUCUUCACGUCGCACAUGACAAAGAACUUGACUCCAAACCUCUGCCUUUUGGAGGGAAUAUAUUGACGGAACGCCAGCCUACCUUUCCAUAACAUCAGGGACUCAUCAAUGCAUAGGUCCUUGUAUGGCACAAAGACCCGACCAAAUGCUGAUGUCAGGCUGGUAAGAACAUUUCUUAUUUUGUGUAACGGGUCAUUUAGGAUGGCAGUAGCAUUGUUGAUGAAAUGCAGUCAUAGCAGCAGAACUAGAAAGCAGUCUUGGGAAAAGAGGGUGGCAAAGAAGGGAGUUGCAAACAUAGGACCUCUGCCCCAGUAUUCUCUUAUGGAGUUCCUCUUUACGGUCACCAGAAAUGUAUACAUUUCACUAAUUGUGGCUGCCCCCCCACUCCAUAUGGCUGCUUGUGUUGGGUCAAUCUUUCCUCGGCGCUAGGACAAAUGUAGCCUACAUUUUUCCGGUUAGGAUGAUUGUGUUAUGCUAUAUUUACUUCUGUGAAUAUCUGAACAAUGCAUCUAAAAAUAAACUGCUGACAUUCUGGA